AUGAGAGGUAGCAUGGGGCAACUACAGGAGACGAGUGCUCCCAACUGUCGCUUUUUGCUCUUCCUUCUCUUCCUGGUGACUCUGUGUCAUGGGCAAGCGCAGUAUGUCUCAUGGGGAGCACUGAGUCCAGAUGAACGUGUUGGCAACAUGUACGGAGCAUAUCCCAUGGAAGCUGAUCCAGAACUUGGUGAAUAUCCCAGGGAUCUGCCUGUACGCCGCGUAUCUGGGCUGCGCCGUUUAUAUCAGCCUCAAGGCUACCCCAGGGAGGUGGUUUCAGGUGCUGGCUCUGUAGCUUCUCGGUGGGUUCCUGGUGUUGAGCCUUGGAGGAAUCACAUGGAUUUGCCUGUAUGCCGCGUAUCUGGGCUGCGCCGUUUAUAUCAGCCUCAAGGCUACCCCAGGGGUGAGUGGUCCGUCUUUGUUCAUUUCACAGUGUCAGCAUGUACUUUCAGCCUUGUCUUCCUGUGGAAUAUAUCUUACAGUGUUGCUUGCUGAUGCUGGGGUGUGGAGAAGAGCAGAGUAGCAAUCAGGAGAGCACAGAGAUGUGCCCUGGGAUUCUUCGCCCUGCACAGCUGUGCUUGCCAGCAGCCCCAGCCUUAUGUCUCUUGAAGUGCUGAUGGCAAAGACAGCAGCAUUUGGGGCAGACUUUAGAGCUUCCUGGGGAUCCUUUCUCCCAGCCAACCUGAACAUG
Molecule: long non-coding RNA, 688 nt
Organism: Meleagris gallopavo (turkey)
Lineage: Eukaryota; Metazoa; Chordata; Aves; Galliformes; Phasianidae
Source: Ensembl